This is a long non-coding RNA of Mauremys reevesii (Reeves's turtle), 924 nucleotides long. RefSeq lists it as uncharacterized. The transcript is spliced from 6 exons. NCBI's taxonomy places the organism in Eukaryota, Metazoa, Chordata, Testudines, Geoemydidae. The record is from RefSeq and is a predicted model, not a curated record.
GGACAGCAGUCAGUGAGUGAGUUCACAGCAACCCAAGAAGGUUCUAGAAGAGUGACAGCUGGAGACAGUUUGGGAGACAGGAAAACUGGCAGCCAGUGGAAAGCCUGAGACCAGACUGUGAAGUGAAAGAAGCUGUUGCCAGAAGCUCUAAGAAAAGGGGUUUGGUAUAAUUACCGCCCUGAAACUUGCUAGUCCUGUUGUUGUCAUUGCCAGAGAAGGCUCCGGAGUGUCCUGCUGCUGCUGCCACCCGGAAGGCCCGUGGGACAAAGACAGUACUGUUUGCUUAUGUUCUCAAGCAAGGAUCUCCAUUGUGAGAUUUAAAGUAAUGUUUCCAUGCAACUGACAGUUGAGAAGCUGCUCUCUGACUUCACCACAUCCCUGGGAGAAAAGAUCCUGUGCUAAGAGCAUCUCAGCUGAACUCCAAAGAUUGAGGCUUAAGUAUACAAAUCUUACAAGGUGCACACUACAGUUUAGUGCUGCUUUAAAAUCACCCACAACAACAUGUAUUAUGCAGCUGAUUACAUAAAUUUUUCAAACAGUCUUGGAACGUGUUACAGCAAAUAAAGGAUUUUGGAGCGUGUAAUGGAGUAAUGCAACCACCAACUUGUACUGAUCAGUUUUCAAUAAAUCAUCAUCAUGAAUGCACAGCUGCAGGGUCAAGGAAGGGCCACAGGGGUCUGUGCUGCCUCCGUCCCCAAUGACAGCUCAGCAGUUCCUAUUUGCCAGGAACUACAGCAAAUGGGAGCUGAGGGAGCAGCACCUGCAGGUGUGGGCAACACCCAGAGCCACGUGGUCGCGCCUCCACUUAGGAACCGGAAGGAGAUGUCACUGCUUCCCGGGAACUGCCUGAGGUGGCAAACAAGUCUCUAAGGGGAGUGCCCCCCCCGUUGGAAGAUGUCCCUCACAACGUCUGGCUGGGGAGAC